ACAAGUUGGCAUCAGUUGAAGGUGAGAGGCGAAAGAUCAAAAAGAGACCUGAGGGGCCACUUUUUCACAUAGGGUGUUGGGUAUGUAAACUGCUAGAAGAAGAUGUAGAGGUGGUUACAAUUACAAUGUUUAAAAUACAUUCAGACAUUACAUGGAUAGGGUCAAUUUAGAGGCAGAUGGGCCAAAU
This is a long non-coding RNA of Amblyraja radiata (thorny skate), 187 nucleotides long. RefSeq lists it as uncharacterized. The transcript has 3 exons. The record is from RefSeq and is a predicted model, not a curated record. NCBI's taxonomy places the organism in Eukaryota, Metazoa, Chordata, Chondrichthyes, Rajiformes, Rajidae.